This 68-nucleotide transfer RNA is filed under the name Chiropodomys gliroides (Indomalayan pencil-tailed tree mouse). Its description in RNAcentral is "tRNA-Thr". The record is from RNAcentral. Lineage: Eukaryota; Metazoa; Chordata; Mammalia; Rodentia; Muridae.
GCCCUGAUAGUAUAUUAUAUUACUUUGGUCUUGUAAACCAAAAAUGAAGAACCUAUCUUCUCAAGGCA